Molecule: ribosomal RNA, 251 nt
Filed under: uncultured bacterium
Lineage: Bacteria
Description: partial 16S ribosomal RNA
Rfam family: Bacterial small subunit ribosomal RNA
Source: RNAcentral
UACGUAGGGUGCGAGCGUUGUCCGGAAUUAUUGGGCGUAAAGAGCUUGUAGGCGGUCUGUCGCGUCUGCUGUGAAAUCCGGGCUCAACCCCGGACUUGCAGUGGGUACGGGCAGACUAGAGUGUGGUAGGGAGACUGGAAUUCCUGGUGUAGCGGUGAAAUGCGCAGAUAUCAGGAGGAACACCGAUGGCGAAGGCAGGUCUCUGGGCCAGCUACUGACGCUGAGAAGCGAAAGCAUGGGGAGCGAACAGG